RNAcentral lists this ribosomal RNA (253 nucleotides) under uncultured bacterium. Its description in RNAcentral is "partial 16S ribosomal RNA". It matches the Rfam family "Bacterial small subunit ribosomal RNA", at positions 524 to 776 of the family's 1533-position model. The record is from RNAcentral.
UACAGAGGUCUCAAGCGUUGUUCGGAUUCAUUGGGCGUAAAGGGUGCGUAGGUGGCGCGGUAAGUCGGGUGUGAAAUUUCGGAGCUUAACUCCGAAACUGCAUUCGAUACUGCCGUGCUUGAGGACUGGAGAGGAGACUGGAAUUUACGGUGUAGCAGUGAAAUGCGUAGAGAUCGUAAGGAAGACCAGUGGCGAAGGCGGGUCUCUGGACAGUUCCUGACACUGAGACACGAAGGCCAGGGGAGCAAACGGG